Molecule: transfer RNA, 73 nt
Filed under: Moheibacter sediminis
Lineage: Bacteria; Pseudomonadati; Bacteroidota; Flavobacteriia; Flavobacteriales; Weeksellaceae
Description: tRNA_Leu_TAA
Rfam family: tRNA
About the family: Transfer RNA (tRNA) molecules are approximately 80 nucleotides in length. Their secondary structure includes four short double-helical elements and three loops (D, anti-codon, and T loops).
Source: RNAcentral
AUCGGGAAGGCGGAAUGGUUGACGCACCGAACUUAAAAUUCGGCUUUUGCAGCUUGAAAAACUGCUCUUGAUG